Molecule: long non-coding RNA, 1761 nt
Filed under: Mus musculus (house mouse)
Lineage: Eukaryota; Metazoa; Chordata; Mammalia; Rodentia; Muridae
Description: RIKEN cDNA 4933402D24 gene (4933402D24Rik)
Source: RNAcentral
ACACUAACUGUCUCCUACCAUUAGACAAUAGUCUUCAGAAAGGAUGUGCCGCAGAACAGCUGAUGGACAUGAAUUAUUUUAGACGAGGACAGCCUGCUCUCUUCAGCACGGACCUGAAACCCAAUUGCCCCCGCAGACUUGAGAUGUUUGCUGCAGCUACAGAAAGGAAGUUAGAAUCUGCUGUCCUCCACAACUUCCCGAAGAGCAAGGAAAACAUUGGAAAACUGUCAGCCCGCUCUCAGAAGGAUAACAUGAUCCCAGGAUGGGAACAGUGCCUGAGAGGUCAGUGGAAGACUUGCAGUGAACUAUGGGAAAAGAAUAGAAAACCCAAGUGUGAAAAGAACAGGAGGAAAACAAAAGGAGGUGGGAUGGUUUCUCUCCUUCCUUGCCUCCUGGAGAAAUGUGCAGAGAGUAAGAUCACAUGUCAAAGCAGCCUCAAGAAGCCUUUGGUCAGAAUGACUCGGCACUGUCACAGAACCUGCAGUCAGAAAGAGCUGCAUCUCCUGCUGAGAGCACAGAACCUGGGAAAUCACCAUGAUGACCUAUCCAGAGCCUUACUGCAUUAGCCAGCAAAGGGAUGUUCCAUCCUGCCGUGCUGCACCAUGGGAACUCUGCCUACUGUGGAUAAAGCAGAUGCUCUUAGCUACUGCAAAAAGCAUGAUCUCGUUUGACUCAAUUGAUGUCUUUCUUUAAAAAGAAGAUUUUACUUUUAUUAUUGUGUAUGAAAGUACAUGCAAGUGCAGAACUCAGAGGUGAGAAGAGAACCUUAGAUUCCCUCGGAGCUGAAGCUGGUGGCAGUUGUGAGCACCUGAUAUGGGUGCUGGGGACCUGCAAAAGCAGUCUGCACUCUUAGCUGCCAAGCCAUUUCUCCUCUCCAACUCCCAACUUAACUUUUGAAACUGGAGGAGAGUCUGCAAAAUAUAGACUGGGACUCAUUUUUCCAGGCCCACUGGUGAUAGAGGGUACACAUGCAGACACAAAAUGAGCCACAAGUAUACCACAAUCUUAUUGAACUCCUCACAACAAGAGGAGCUUUGGUUACCCAGCUUUUGGGCCACCUGGAAGCUGAGCGCUUACUUACAGCUUUCAGGAGGGUCUCACAUAGAAUGGGCAUUGAAGUCCACCCCUUGGUCCAUAAGGAUAAUAGUAUAUGAGGAGCAGGGGGCCCCUGUCGCUUCGAUGCUGCUUUAAGUCAAGUGUCCCACUUCUUAGGCAGCUACACAAGCCGCCUGCUACUGAGCGAGCUGUCAUGGAGGCAGCUAGACAGCUGCAAUAAGACACACAGUUUGGGAAACUGUAGCUUUCAACAAGUACAGCUCCAUCAGACACCCCAACUGGGCCCAAGGUGCUUCUAUUUGCUUAAGGAUCACAGUAAAUUGGAUCCUCACCAUCUGGCAGAGUUGAUAUUUAAAAGUUCAAGUGAGUCUGAGAUUCAUCUCUAUCUCCAGGCACAACAAAUAACAUUACCCUGAUGUAGCAGAAAGGGAAGAGCUGGUGGGCUACAUGUGUUUCAGUUCUGAAUGGUAUUUAAAAUAGCUCUGCUUUCUUUCAUCAGCUACUGUUAUGGACACUUUCUUGUCAGUGGUUACUACAAAGAAGUUAAGGAACUUACCAAAGUGUUUUGUUUAAGAGUCCCAUGUGGCUAUUUCAGCUUGACAUGUAAUAGUUAAACAUAGAGUGAGACUGAGCCUCUCACUAACGGUUUGGGAUAUAAAAUUCCUUGGAAUUUCACAAAAGCGGUAUUAAAUGACUUCCCUGAAA